UUUCCGUAGGUGAACCUGCGGAAGGAUCAUUAAUGAAAUGCAACCUCGGGAGGUUGUGCUGGCGCUCCGGCGCAAUGUGCGCGCCUACUCUGGCGUUAAGACCCCUACACACCCGUGCACGAAUCCGUUGGACGGGAGUGGUGCCUUGCGCGCAUUCCGGUCUGGCCCUCAACAGCAGCUUAUUACCGUAUGUCGAAUGCAUCACUGCGCACGCGCAACCGAAAUACAACUUUUAACAACGGAUCUCUUGGUUCUC
RNAcentral lists this unclassified non-coding RNA (256 nucleotides) under plant metagenome. RNAcentral's name for it is "partial contains small subunit ribosomal RNA, internal transcribed spacer 1, and 5.8S ribosomal RNA". The record is from RNAcentral.